GACGUAGGGCGCGAGCGUUGUCCGGAUUUAUUGGGCGUAAAGAGCUCGUAGGCGGCUUGUCGCGUCGACUGUGAAAACCCGCAGCUCAACUGCGGGCCUGCAGUCGAUACGGGCAGGCUAGAGUUCGGUAGGGGAGACUGGAAUUCCUGGUGUAGCGGUGAAAUGCGCAGAUAUCAGGAAGAACACCCGUGGCUAAGGCGGUUCUCUAGUACGGUACUGACGCUGAGACGCGAAAGCGUGGGGAGCGAACAGG
RNAcentral lists this ribosomal RNA (253 nucleotides) under uncultured bacterium. RNAcentral describes it as "partial 16S ribosomal RNA". It matches the Rfam family "Bacterial small subunit ribosomal RNA", at positions 524 to 776 of the family's 1533-position model. The record is from RNAcentral.